UAAUACGGAGGUGGCGAGCGUUGUCCGAAGUUACUGGGCGUAAAGCGCGCGUAGGCGGGCCCUUAAGUGAGGGGUGAAAGGCUGAGGCUCAACCUCAUGUUUGUCCUCUCAUACUGUGGGUCUUGAGUGAGGCAGGGAGAAGUGGAAUGGCUGGUGUAGCGGUGAAAUGCGUAGAUAUCAGUCGGAACACCGGUGGCGAAGGCGGCUUCUUGGGCCUUUACUGACGCUGAGGCGCGAAAGCUGGGGGAGCGAACGGGAUUAGAUACCCCGGUAGUCCCAGCCGUAAACGAUGGACACUAGGUGUCGGGGGUAUCGACCCCUCCGGUGCCGCAGCUAACGCAUUAAGUGUCCCGCCUGGGGAGUACGGCCGCAAGGUUG
Molecule: ribosomal RNA, 378 nt
Filed under: uncultured bacterium
Lineage: Bacteria
Description: bacterial SSU rRNA
Rfam family: Bacterial small subunit ribosomal RNA
Source: RNAcentral